CGAAGAGACAUUAGGCUGAGAGGUCAUGAGGAGAGCUCUAUGAGCUCACGAACUCAGUUAUCCCAGACUUCCAAGAAAAGUUCCGGCGUGAGUCACUUUACUGACCGUACCGCAAACCGACACAGGUGGGCAAGGAGAAUAUCCUAAGGCGUUUGAGAGAAGCCUCUCUAAGGAACUCUGCAUAAUGACACCGUAACUUCGGGAUAAGGUGUGCCGACGGUAGGUGAUGUGCCUGCGCACAAAGCCCAAGUCGGUUGCAGUGAAACGGGGGUAGCGACUGUUUACCAAAAACACAGCACUCUGCAAACUCGUAAGAGGAUGUAUAGGGUGUGAUGCCUGCCCGGUGCCGGAAGGUUAAGAGGAGGAGUCAGCCGCAAGGCAAAGCCCCGAAUCGAAGCCCCGGUAAACGGCGGCCGUAACAAUAACGGUCCUAAGGUAGCGAAAUUCCUUGUCGGGUAAGUUCCGACCUGCACGAAUGGCAUAACGACUUCCCCACUGUCUCGGAGAGGCCCUCAGCGAAGUAGCACUAGGGGUGAAGAUACCCUUUACCCGCGGCAGGACGGAAAGACCCCGUGAACCUUUACUGUAACUUGGCACUGAUUUUCGGGUUAGCUUGCGUAGGAUAGGUGGGAGGCUAUGAAGCCGGGAUUCCGGUCUCGGCAGAGCCAACCUUGAAAUACCACCCUGGCUAACCUAAAAAUCUAACUCGCUUCCGUAAUCCGGAAGGAGGACAAUGCCUGGUGGGCAGUUUGACUGGGGCGGUCGCCUCCCAAAAAGUAACGGAGGCGCGCGAAGGUUCCCUCAGCCUGAUUGGAAACCAGGCGCAGAGUGUAAUGGCAUAAGGGAGCUUGACUGCGAGACAAACAAGUCGAGCAGGUGCGAAAGCAGGUCAUAGUGAUCCGGUGGUCCUGUAUGGAAAGGCCAUCGCUCAACGGAUAAAAGGUACUCCGGGGAUAACAGGCUUAUCACGCCCAAGAGUUCACAUCGACGGCGUGGUUUGGCACCUCGAUGUCGGCUCAUCGCAUCCUGGGGCUGAAGUAGGUCCCAAGGGUUCGGCUGUUCGCCGAUUAAAGCGGUACGCGAGCUGGGUUCAAAACGUCGUGAGACAGUUUGGUCCCUAUCCGCCGUGGGCGCAGGAGACUUGAGAGGAGCUAACCUUAGUACGAGAGGACCGGGUUGGACUGACCUCUAGUGUUCCGGUUGUGGCACCAGCCGCAUCGCCGGGUAGCUACGUCGGGAAUGGAUAACCGCUGAAAGCAUCUAAGCGGGAAGCCAACCUCAAGAUUAGGUCUCCCAGGUCGUAAGACCCUAAAGGCCCCUCGUAGACCACGAGGUAAUAGGCUGGGUGUGGAAGCGUAGUAAUACGUGAAGCUGACCAGUACUAAUCGGCCGUGCGGCUUGACCAC
RNAcentral lists this ribosomal RNA (1406 nucleotides) under metagenome. RNAcentral describes it as "bacterial LSU rRNA". It matches the Rfam family "Bacterial large subunit ribosomal RNA", at positions 1541 to 2925 of the family's 2925-position model. The record is from RNAcentral.